AUCGUUUCUUGGCCUUUUGGUUAAGAUCAAAUGUAGUAUCUGUUCUUAUCAGUUUAAUAUCUGAUAUAUCCUUUAUGUGAGGACAAUGUAUAUUAAAUGGAUUUUUGAAAUCAGGAGAUAGAAUAGGAGCUUGCUUCAUCCACUACAUGCAUCAACUUGGAAUUACAGUACUUCCAGGAAUGGCACACCAAAA
RNAcentral lists this small nuclear RNA (193 nucleotides) under Dasypus novemcinctus (nine-banded armadillo). RNAcentral's name for it is "U2 spliceosomal RNA (ENSDNOG00000026090.1)". It matches the Rfam family "U2 spliceosomal RNA". From Rfam's summary of the family: U2 is a small nuclear RNA (snRNA) component of the spliceosome (involved in pre-mRNA splicing). Complementary binding between U2 snRNA (in an area lying towards the 5' end but 3' to hairpin I) and the branchpoint sequence (BPS) of the intron results the bulging out of an unpaired adenosine, on the BPS, which initiates a nucleophilic attack at the intronic 5' splice site, thus starting the first of two transesterification reactions that mediate splicing. The record is from RNAcentral. Lineage: Eukaryota; Metazoa; Chordata; Mammalia; Cingulata; Dasypodidae.